RNAcentral lists this ribosomal RNA (926 nucleotides) under uncultured bacterium. RNAcentral's name for it is "bacterial SSU rRNA". It matches the Rfam family "Bacterial small subunit ribosomal RNA", at positions 33 to 949 of the family's 1533-position model. The record is from RNAcentral.
ACGCUAGCUACAGGCUUAACACAUGCAAGUCGAGGGGAAACGGCAUUAAGUGCUUGCACUUUUUGGACGUCGACCGGCGCACGGGUGAGUAACGCGUAUCCAACCUUCCCAUGACUAAGGGAUAACCUGCCGAAAGGCAGACUAAUACCUUAUGGUCUUCACUGACGGCAUCAGAUGUGAAGUAAAGAUUUAUCGGUUAUGGAUGGGGAUGCGUCUGAUUAGCUUGUUGGCGGGGUAACGGCCCACCAAGGCAACGAUCAGUAGGGGUUCUGAGAGGAAGGUCCCCCACAUUGGAACUGAGACACGGUCCAAACUCCUACGGGAGGCAGCAGUGAGGAAUAUUGGUCAAUGGGCGAGAGCCUGAACCAGCCAAGUAGCGUGCAGGAUGACGGCCCUAUGGGUUGUAAACUGCUUUUGUAUGGGGAUAAAGUCAGUCACGUGUGAUUGUUUGCAGGUACCAUACGAAUAAGGACCGGCUAAUUCCGUGCCAGCAGCCGCGGUAAUACGGAAGGUCCGGGCGUUAUCCGGAUUUAUUGGGUUUAAAGGGAGCGUAGGCUGGAGAUUAAGUGUGUUGUGAAAUGUAGACGCUCAACGUCUGACUUGCAGCGCAUACUGGUUUCCUUGAGUACGCACAACGUUGGCGGAAUUCGUCGUGUAGCGGUGAAAUGCUUAGAUAUGACGAAGAACUCCGAUUGCGAAGGCAGCUGACGGGAGCGCAACUGACGCUGAAGCUCGAAGGUGCGGGUAUCGAACAGGAUUAGAUACCCUGGUAGUCCGCACAGUAAACGAUGGAUGCCCGCUGUUGGUACCUGGUAUCAGCGGCUAAGCGAAAGCAUUAAGCAUCCCACCUGGGGAGUACGCCGGCAACGGUGAAACUCAAAGGGAAUUGACGGGGGCCCGCACAAGCGGAGGAACAUGUGGUUUAA